AGCUUAUUUUGCGCAGGCGGAACUCGACCGCCCACUCAAGCGAUGAUCGGUUUCAUCGACGAUCAA
This is a regulatory RNA element of Thioclava sp. SK-1, 66 nucleotides long. It matches the Rfam family "ALIL pseudoknot", at positions 1 to 66 of the family's 117-position model. The record is from Rfam. NCBI's taxonomy places the organism in Bacteria, Pseudomonadati, Pseudomonadota, Alphaproteobacteria, Rhodobacterales, Paracoccaceae.